UAAUCAGGUUGGACACAGUUCUGGAACCACUUGGAGAUCACAGUCAAAGGAUGAACGAGAACAGGAGACAUUAUGAGAUGUGCCCAUAUUCAUUUCUAUUUAGGGGAACCCUCCUGGGUUUGACAGGUUGAGAAGAACUGCAAAGAUAGGAAGGCACAGAACUUGCCCUUCAAGAGUUUACAUUCUAGAGGAAGAGAGAAGGCAAACCGACAUACAAGUGUCUGCGAUGGAUUCAUAGAUCAUAAAAGCAUAGGAUCGUGUGCUGGAAUUGUUUGUACUUUGGCACAGAGGCAUGAAUAAAUCUGUCAGUUCCUCAGGA
Molecule: long non-coding RNA, 319 nt
Organism: Ornithorhynchus anatinus (platypus)
Lineage: Eukaryota; Metazoa; Chordata; Mammalia; Monotremata; Ornithorhynchidae
Exons: 2
Source: RefSeq, a predicted model, not a curated record